RNAcentral lists this ribosomal RNA (810 nucleotides) under Dryocoetoides granulicauda. RNAcentral's name for it is "partial large subunit ribosomal RNA". It matches the Rfam family "Eukaryotic large subunit ribosomal RNA", at positions 390 to 873 of the family's 3401-position model. Lineage: Eukaryota; Metazoa; Arthropoda; Insecta; Coleoptera; Curculionidae. The record is from RNAcentral.
CAAGAGUACGUGAAACCGUUUAGGGGUAAACCUGAGAAACCCGAAAGGUCGAAGGGAGAAAUUCAUUCGCGUUUCGACGCAGGCGUGAGGCGGAGUUCAGUGCGACGGAACGACCGUUUUUCGGAACGGGAUACGGUUUCGCGCCCUCCGUCUUUCGAACCGGCGGCGAACGCGUGCACUUUUCUCCUGGUAGGACGUCGCGAUCCGUCGGGCGUCGGUCUACGACUCGCGGUGGAGCCCGUUCGUUUCGUCUUUACGGACGUGGGAACGGACCCGCGACGUAUUCCGGCCGACUCGCUCGACGGUACGACCUAAGGUCGGAGGCCGCUCUCAAGGAGCGUUCGACUCGUCGCAAGCGCGCCACGUGUGUCGGCACGCGGACCCGGUGCCGCGUCCGAUCUCUGGUGACUGUUGGCGACGAAGUUCUCGGACAGACCUCUUACCGUUUUUUCGUCUCUUUCGGGAGCGAGAAAGCGCGUGUGUAAAGACCGAUCGGCGACGCUAUAGCUUUGGGUACUUUCAGGACCCGUCUUGAAACACGGACCAAGGAGUCUAGCAUGUACGCGAGUCAUUGGGAUUAUUACUAAACCUAAAGGCGUAAUGAAAGUGAAGGACGUUCCUAGCGAACGACCGAGGGAAGACGGACGAUCGUCGUUUUGGGAGAUUUUAAUCGAUUUCCGAUCGUCCUGCAUUCCCGGGGCGUCUCGUUCACAUCGCGUGAAGAGGCGCACCAUGAGCGUACACGCUGGGACCCGAAAGAUGGUGAACUAUGCCUGGUCAGGACGAAGUCAGGGGAAACCCUGAUGGAGG